Molecule: ribosomal RNA, 253 nt
Filed under: uncultured bacterium
Lineage: Bacteria
Description: partial 16S ribosomal RNA
Rfam family: Bacterial small subunit ribosomal RNA
Source: RNAcentral
UACAGAGGGUGCGAGCGUUAAUCGGAAUUACUGGGCGUAAAGCGUGCGUAGACGGUUAUUUAAGUCGGGUGUGAAAGCCCCGGGCUCAACCUGGGAAUUGCAUUCGAGACUGAAUAGCUAGGGUACGGUAGAGGGAAGCGGAAUUUCCGGUGUAGCGGUGAAAUGCGUAGAUAUCGGAAGGAACAUCAGUGGCGAAAGCGGCUUCCUGGACCAGUACCGACGUUCAGGCACGAAAGCGUGGAGAGCAAACAGG